RNAcentral lists this ribosomal RNA (327 nucleotides) under uncultured eukaryote. Its description in RNAcentral is "partial 18S ribosomal RNA". It matches the Rfam family "Eukaryotic small subunit ribosomal RNA", at positions 1470 to 1796 of the family's 1831-position model. The record is from RNAcentral.
CCCUUAGAUGUUCUGGGCCGCACACGCGCUACACUGAAGGAGGCAGCGUGUACUCCUGGAUCGAAAGAUUUGGGUAACCCGCGAAUCUCCUUCGUGCUAGGGAUUGAGGUUUGCAAUUAUCCUUCAUGAACGAGGAAUUCCCAGUAAGUGCAAGUCAUAAGCUUGCGCUGACUACGUCCCUGCCCUUUGUACACACCGCCCGUCGCUACUACCGAUUGAAUGAUUUAGUGAGGACUUCGGACUGGGACCGAUGCGGCUUUCGGGCUGCGUCGGUAUUCUGGAAAGAUGUCCAAACUGUAUCAUUUAGAGGAAGUAAACGUCGUAACA